GCGGUCGAUCAUCGCUCGACCUGCCGGCAACGCCUA
Molecule: small RNA, 36 nt
Filed under: Bombyx mori (domestic silkworm)
Lineage: Eukaryota; Metazoa; Arthropoda; Insecta; Lepidoptera; Bombycidae
Description: ovarian small RNA-16959
Source: RNAcentral